This is a non-coding RNA of Gorilla gorilla gorilla (western lowland gorilla), 148 nucleotides long. It matches the Rfam family "Metazoan signal recognition particle RNA". Rfam says of the family: The signal recognition particle (SRP) is a universally conserved ribonucleoprotein. It is involved in the co-translational targeting of proteins to membranes. The record is from Rfam. NCBI's taxonomy places the organism in Eukaryota, Metazoa, Chordata, Mammalia, Primates, Hominidae.
GCCAGGUGUGGUGGUGUGUGCCUGUAGUCCCAGCUACUUGGGAGGCUGAGGUGGGAGGAUUGCUUGAGCCCAGGAAUUUGAGGCUGCAGUGAGCUAUGAUCGUGCCACUGCACUCCAACCUGGGUGACAGAGCGAGACCUUGUCUCAA